AACACUCAACUUCCAUAGCUACUCCAUGCAUAUGUAACGGUAUGAACGCCGGCGGGUCGCACCUCCCGUGCACGUACGGCUGGUAGCUCGGCACGUCAGGAUUGUCCACCGCUUCUGGCUCUGGCACUACCGCAUAAACCAUCACCGCCAAAGGUAACAAGCUCUCCGAUGAUUUCGACAUUCCUGCCUCCGGCGCCGGAGGCAAUUCCUUGCCGUAGUAAAUUCUCUUUGAUAGCUUCAAGCCGUAGCCUACGCAUGUCUCAAACUCGUCAGCCAUGUCGCCGGACCUGUUCCCAAAAGAAAAUUUUCCGGCUAUGAGGAUGUGGAAAAAAAAA
This 335-nucleotide unclassified non-coding RNA is filed under the name Hevea brasiliensis (rubber tree). Lineage: Eukaryota; Viridiplantae; Streptophyta; Magnoliopsida; Malpighiales; Euphorbiaceae. The record is from RNAcentral.